Molecule: ribosomal RNA, 311 nt
Filed under: Bathycrinus sp. GWR-2010
Lineage: Eukaryota; Metazoa; Echinodermata; Crinoidea; Bourgueticrinida; Bathycrinidae
Description: partial 16S ribosomal RNA
Rfam family: Bacterial large subunit ribosomal RNA (bases 189-311)
Source: RNAcentral
UUAAGAAAAAUUUUAUAUAAACAAAAAAAAGUAAAAAUACUACCAAAAUAAAAAUAAAAAUAUCUUAGGUUGGGGCAACCAAGAAGAAAAAAAAACCUUCAAUAAACAACAAAAAUAAACAAAUUUAAAAUUAUUAAAUAAUCUACAAGACCCAGUAAAAGCUGAUAAAAGAAAAAAGUUACCGCAGGGAUAACAGCGUUAUUCUCUUUGAGAGUUCUUAUUGACAAGAGAGUUUGCGACCUCGAUGUUGGACCGGGGCACCCCAGGGAUGCAGAAGUCCCUAAAGGUAAGUCUGUUCGACCUUUAAAGCC